This 279-nucleotide ribosomal RNA is filed under the name uncultured bacterium. Its description in RNAcentral is "partial 16S ribosomal RNA". It matches the Rfam family "Bacterial small subunit ribosomal RNA", at positions 506 to 784 of the family's 1533-position model. The record is from RNAcentral.
UGCCAGCCGCAGCGGUAAGACGGAGGGCGCAAGCGUUGUUCGGAAUUACUGGGCGUAAAGCGCACGCAGGCGGUUUGCUCAGUCCCAUGUGAAAGCCCGGGGCUCAACCCCGGAAAUGCAUAGGAUACUGGCAGACUGGAGACAGGUAGGGGCUAGCGGAAUUCCUGGUGUAGCGGUGGAAUGCGUAGAUAUCAGGAAGAACACCUGUGGCGAAGGCGGCUAGCUGGGCCUGUUCUGACGCUCAUGUGCGAAAGCGUGGGGAGCAAACAGGAUUAGAUA